UACGUAGGGGGCAAGCGUUGUCCGGAUUUAUUGGGCGUAAAGAGCGUGUAGGCGGCUUUACAGGUCCUUUGUGAAAACUCGAGGCUCAACCUCGAGACGCCGGUGGAAACCGUAAAGCUAGAGUCCGGAAGAGGAGAGUGGAAUUCCUGGUGUAGCGGUGAAAUGCGUAGAUAUCAGGAGGAACACCUGUGGUGUAGACAGCUUACUGGACCAUUUCUGACGCUGAGACACGAAAGCGUGGGUAGCAAACAGG
This 253-nucleotide ribosomal RNA is filed under the name uncultured bacterium. RNAcentral's name for it is "partial 16S ribosomal RNA". It matches the Rfam family "Bacterial small subunit ribosomal RNA", at positions 524 to 776 of the family's 1533-position model. The record is from RNAcentral.